Triticum dicoccoides is the source of this 176-nucleotide long non-coding RNA. RefSeq lists it as uncharacterized. NCBI's taxonomy places the organism in Eukaryota, Viridiplantae, Streptophyta, Magnoliopsida, Poales, Poaceae. The record is from RefSeq and is a predicted model, not a curated record. The transcript has 3 exons.
AAUCCCCCCACAUCUCUCUCAGAUCUGAAGAUUUGAUCCGUGGAUUCGAUCCCCAAUCCAUCCUACUAGGAUGGUUUAGCUUCUGGACGAUGUCUACGACGUGCAACACCGGGCCUACAUGAUGCGCGAGAAGGAUAAGAAGCUUGAACCUCUGAAGAUUCGGUAUCAUGGGGUCU